This 426-nucleotide ribosomal RNA is filed under the name uncultured bacterium. Its description in RNAcentral is "partial 16S ribosomal RNA". It matches the Rfam family "Bacterial small subunit ribosomal RNA", at positions 354 to 796 of the family's 1533-position model. The record is from RNAcentral.
GUGAGGAAUUUUCCGCAAUGGGCGAAAGCCUGACGGAGCAAUGCCGCGUGAAGGAUGAAGGCCUAUGGGUUGUAAACUUCUUUUCUCAGAAAAGAAUUAUGACGGUAUCUGAGGAAUAAGCAUCGGCUAACUCUGUGCCAGCAGCCGCGGUAAGACAGAGGAUGCAAGCGUUAUCCGGAAUGAUUGGGCGUAAAGCGUCUGUAGGUUGUUUAAAAAGUAUUCUGUCAAAGAUUAGGGCUUAACCCUAGAUAGGCAGAAUAAACUUUUAAGCUAGAGUUUGGUAGAGGCAGAGGGAAUUCCCGGUGGAGCGGUGAAAUGCGUAGAUAUCGGGAGGAACACCAAAGGCGAAGGCACUCUGCUGGGCCAAUACUAACACUGAGAGACGAAAGCGAGGGGAGCAGAUGGGAUUAGAUACCCGUGUAGUCC